Molecule: ribosomal RNA, 300 nt
Filed under: uncultured Hydrogenobacter sp.
Lineage: Bacteria; Pseudomonadati; Aquificota; Aquificia; Aquificales; Aquificaceae
Description: bacterial SSU rRNA
Rfam family: Bacterial small subunit ribosomal RNA
Source: RNAcentral
GUAAAUUAAGUGCCAGCAGCUGGGGUAAUACGUAGGAUCGAAGGGGUGUCCGGAUUUACUGGGUGUGAAGGGUGCGCAGGCGUACUGGGGGGUCUGGGGGGAAAUCUCGCCGCUUAACGGUGAAACUGACUUAGAUACUAUCAGGCUUGGAUAAGCGAGAGGUUCGUGGAAUUCCGAGUGUAGCAGUGAAAUGUGUAGAUAUUCGGAAGAACACCAGUGGCGAAGGCAGCGAACUGGCGCUUUAUCGACGCUCAUGCACGAAAGCAUGGGGAUCAAACAGGAUUAGAUACCCGUGUAGUC